Molecule: transfer RNA, 94 nt
Filed under: Caenorhabditis elegans
Lineage: Eukaryota; Metazoa; Nematoda; Chromadorea; Rhabditida; Rhabditidae
Description: Unclassified non-coding RNA K01A11.6
Source: RNAcentral
AGCAAAAAGACAUCAGCCCAAUGCGGGGCUCGAACCCGCGACAACCAGAUUAAGAGUCUGGUGCUCUACCGACUGAGCUAACCGGGCGGCGAUG